ACAGAUUACAUGCACAAAAUAUGCCCGUAAUUUCUGCUUUUGACAGAUGCUGGAAGGAUUUUCACUAAUCAAUGAUCCUCCAUUGCAAUUUCAAGAACCGAAGGCAGCCUUUCAUGAAAAAUUGAAAAAAUUCUAUUAAGCUCAGUCCUGAACACCUGUUUUGAUCUCAGAUUAUGCUCCCCCCUCCGGUUUCAAUUUGGUAUAAAAGCUUUGUUUCUGCUAAUUAGAAGCAGGCAUAACUCAUUUUCAACACAAGCAAAAAGAUGCAGAUCCAGGUCAUUUUCCUAGCAUUGGCCAUCGCCAUGGUGUCUGCUCAAUGUGAUUCCAAAAUCAAGCGGGGACAAGCUUGUAGCGAAACCUCGCAAUGUCGACCCAACCUUGUGUGCAACAAUUGGAGGAACGGAUCGAAACUUUGCCAACCAGCCCAAUGUUCAGUGGAAGGCGAAAGAUGUGGCUGGUACAGAGGAAGUUGUUGCCAAACUGAUCCAACCAUCUAUUGUUAUAAGAAGACUGGCAGCCGAAGUCGGUGCACAAGGCUGCAAAAUAUUCCAGAACAAGACAGAAAUCAAGUAGUAGCAAUUGGUGUUUGACCAUGACAUGAGAACCGUUUGACUUGAUUGAAUCCUUGACAUCCACAAUCCAGAAUAAAUUUGCGUAACAUUCAUAUUCAA
This is a long non-coding RNA of Tigriopus californicus, 671 nucleotides long. RefSeq lists it as uncharacterized. Lineage: Eukaryota; Metazoa; Arthropoda; Copepoda; Harpacticoida; Harpacticidae. The transcript is spliced from 3 exons. The record is from RefSeq and is a predicted model, not a curated record.